Molecule: ribosomal RNA, 2522 nt
Filed under: Triticum aestivum (bread wheat)
Lineage: Eukaryota; Viridiplantae; Streptophyta; Magnoliopsida; Poales; Poaceae
Description: partial small subunit ribosomal RNA
Source: RNAcentral
GAGAGCUCUCACGCAGUCCAAGUCGUACUCCUUCACUGCCCCACGUCGUCCGCUUCUUCCAGAAGAAAGAGGGAUUGCCCAGCCCUCGUUCCCCAUCUGUCCGUUCCUCUCCCUCUCCCUCGGCCGCCGCCGGCGGUGACCUCCCCCAUGGCUGACGCCCCCACCCCCUUCUCUCUGCCCCUUGCCUUCUCCUCAUCAUCAGCAACCUCCUUCCCUCCUCUCGCCCCAGAUCGAGGACAGGUCUGGAUCCGGCACGCCCACAGCGCUGCUUCGGCUAAAGCAAGGUGCUCUUGCCCUGGUGCUACAGCCAUGGACAAGGUGCCCUCCCAUCUCUUCUCUCUGUAUGUGUUGGAUGGUGGGAAACAAUAACUGCAUCAAGAGCUACCUCGAUGCCAUCCUCGACACCGGCAAUCAGAUCGCGGCGAUCGCCCCUCCCUGCUUCUCCUCAAUCUUGUCCACUUCUCCCUGCUACUCCGUCGAGGAGGUCAUCACUGUCUACGAAGAUACCGACCUCUACAAGUCAUUGCUCCGGGGGGUGAACGUGGUGUACAGGACAACGAACUUGAGGAGCAGCGGGCCAGGAGAUUUGUUCUCUGGGUGAUUGUGCGGAUGAAUUUGAUGUCGAGAAUGUCCGUUCUGUUGGCGAAAAGGCCCCCGUUAUUGGGAUAUUUCUAAGCACACCGCCAAGGAACUUUGAAGGUCCUUAUUUUAACCAUGAGUUUCAUCAUCUCGAAAUGCAGGAAGUAUAGAUGGCACCUCUAUGGUGCAUGUUUGCCGACUUAAUUCAAGAUAUCCUGCUGGACUAACAUCAUACAUCCAGAAUGCCAAAAGGCUUUUGGCAGAUUCCAAGGAAGAACAAAAUCCAUACGAUUCACGCCUUUGGUUCCCUUGAAUGAAGUAUUGACCUUCGGUGAUGGCAAUUUUGUUUAAGCACACAAUAUUGUGUUUGUUCUUGUAGCUGGUGGGCUUGGCAAAAGAUUUGGUUACAAAGGAAUUAAGGAAGACCUCGACAAAUACUUUCAGCCCCAAGGAAACAAAGGUGACCACCCCGUCAUCCUUGUCUGUUGGCUGGCUCAUUCUUGUCCUCAGCUGGGUGCAGGGGAUUUCACCCUCUUGCCAUGCGUCCGGCCGCGGCAGGAGAAAGUGGGUGGUAGCGAGCUGUGGGAUUGGUCAUUAGUCAGUUUAGUUCGCCGCACCAUCCUCAUCCAGGGUUUGGUGCGGGAUCUCGUCGGCUUGGCACCUUCAUUGUUACUCCGGAUCCCCGGAUCGCCGCCUUCUUCCUCCAGGCUGGCAAUCACCUGCAGGUUAACGUGAGGAAGUGACGAGAUACACGAAGGGUUGGAGAAGGACUGCAGGAGGAUGUGAGAACAUGCGUUGUUUCAGAUCCACCCGACUGAUCCCAAGUUUUUGCAAGGUCUGCUUCUUAUGGAAAAACUUCUUUCGAUGAGCCGCCUAUCCAAAUAAUUAAAAUUACUCCUUUUAGUUAGAUUUAGUAUUAGCCAAAUUAUUUGCUUCUGUGAUGACGAACAAACUGAGUAUAGUUUUAUUUUGCUUUAGAUGAGUAUUGUAGAGUAGGAAGACUUGCAAGAAUUUGUAUAAUAGUUUUGAACUCUUCUGAAACUGAAAGGAUCACACAUACUGAAGCAAACAAUUUAUGUAUUAUUAUGUACGAGUUUGGAUUAUUCUGAAGACUUCUUUUAGGUGCUUGGAUUACUCUGAGCAACUCUCACAAAAGUUGAGAGUAUAGUGUGAACACUGGCCAUAGUGUGCCAGGAUGACCGCUUGCACUACAGGAGCCUCGUGGCACUUGUCAUCUUUCUUUUUUCUUCCUCCCGCCUCCCUCCCUUUAGCUCUCAUUGUAGCUUUUGUGUGCAAGAGGUUUGAUCAUGGGCAUAAGCACAAUGGUUUCACAUUUCAUUGGUGCGUGCGCAUAAGAAAUGAACUUGGAAGAAUUUCUUUUCUAAGAUGAUUUGCUUCAUUACUGUAUGCACGAGCAUCAUUCCUAAAUAUAGUUUAUCAUUUGUACCCUCUUUUUGGUCCAUGACGACGGUGAUGUUCCUAUUGAAACACAGGUUUGGAAUUGAUAAUUUCCUGGAUUAGUAGACAUUGGUGUAUUUCUCAUUUUCUGUUUGCCUGGUCUUCCCUUGCUAUGCUCAAGAUUGCCUGCCAGGUUUUCAUUCAAGAUGAGAAGCUACUCACACACAUGCAUGAUGCAUCCACAUAUUUAUUUUCGAUCUGACAGCUUUGGCUUUCCUUUUUUCAUACAUCUUUCCUUCUACGGUGUGAGUCUUGUUUCAUGGAAAUGUGCACUCUACAAGUGUGAUUCGGAGGAGACUGGAUCGAGCUCAUUGAGAGGGUCAAUAUUGUUCGGGUUGGCUUCAGUAUUUCCCCACCGCCUGCUCAAGACGCUGUGGCACAGCCACGUUGGCCUCGGUGGCAGGUCCAACGACCGGCGGCGCCCGCGAGUGGGACGUGGGCUAUGUGGCAAAUUUGACAAUUGUCUGAACUGGGUGCGAAACUAA